This 72-nucleotide transfer RNA is filed under the name Pseudomonadota bacterium. RNAcentral's name for it is "tRNA-Phe". It matches the Rfam family "tRNA". From Rfam's summary of the family: Transfer RNA (tRNA) molecules are approximately 80 nucleotides in length. Their secondary structure includes four short double-helical elements and three loops (D, anti-codon, and T loops). Further hydrogen bonds mediate the characteristic L-shaped molecular structure. tRNAs have two regions of fundamental functional importance: the anti-codon, which is responsible for specific mRNA codon recognition, and the 3' end, to which the tRNAs corresponding amino acid is attached (by aminoacyl-tRNA synthetases). tRNAs cope with the degeneracy of the genetic code in two manners: having more than one tRNA (with a specific anti-codon) for a particular amino acid; and 'wobble' base-pairing, i.e. permitting non-standard base-pairing at the 3rd anti-codon position. Lineage: Bacteria; Pseudomonadati; Pseudomonadota. The record is from RNAcentral. RNAcentral also lists the same sequence under 1 other name.
GGCCGGGUAGCUCAGUGGUAGAGCGAGGGACUGAAAAUCCCUGCGUGGGGGGUUCGAUUCCCUCCCCGGCCA